GUAGUCCACGCCGUAAACGAUGAAUGCUAGGUGUUAGGGGUUUCGAUACCCUUGGUGCCGAAGUUAACACAUUAAGCAUUCCGCCUGGGGAGUACGGUCGCAAGACUGAAACUCAAAGGAAUUGACGGGGACCCGCACAAGCAGUGGAGUAUGUGGUUUAAUUCGAAGCAACGCGAAGAACCUUACCAGGUCUUGACAUCUGAAUGACCGGUGCAGAGAUGUACCUUUUCUUCGGAACAUUCAAGACAGGUGGUGCAUGGUUGUCGUCAGCUCGUGUCGUGAGAUGUUGGGUUAAGUCCCGCAACGAGCGCAACCCUUAUGCUUAGUUGCCAGCAUGUAAUGAUGGGCACUCUAAGCAGACUGCCGGUGACAAACCGGA
Molecule: ribosomal RNA, 379 nt
Filed under: uncultured bacterium
Lineage: Bacteria
Description: bacterial SSU rRNA
Rfam family: Bacterial small subunit ribosomal RNA
Source: RNAcentral